GAUGAACGCUGGCGGCGUGCCUAAUACAUGCAAGUCGAGCGAACAGAUGAGGAGCUUGCUCCUCUGACGUUAGCGGCGGACGGGUGAGUAACACGUGGAUAACCUACCUCUAAGACUGGGAUAACUUCGGGAAACCGGAGCUAAUACCGGAUAAAAUAUUGAACCGCAUGGUUCAAUAGUGAAAGACGGUUUUGCUGUCACUUAUAGCUGGAUCCGCGCCGCAUUAGCUAGUUGGUAAGGUAACGGCUUACCAAGGCAACGAUGCGUAGCCGACCUGAGAGGGUGAUCGGCCACACUGGAACUGAGACACGGUCCAGACUCCUACGGGAGGCAGCAGUAGGGAAUCUUCCGCAAUGGGCGAAAGCCUGACGGAGCAACGCCGCGUGAGUGAUGAAGGUCUUCGGAUCGUAAAACUCUGUUAUUAGGGAAGAACAAAUGUGUAAGUAACUAUGCACGUCUUGACGGUACCUAAUCAGAAAGCCACGGCUAACUACGUG
RNAcentral lists this ribosomal RNA (497 nucleotides) under uncultured bacterium. Its description in RNAcentral is "partial 16S ribosomal RNA". It matches the Rfam family "Bacterial small subunit ribosomal RNA", at positions 28 to 507 of the family's 1533-position model. The record is from RNAcentral.